ACACAUAUUUCCUCUUUGGAUGCCCUUCCUCUUCUUGUCUGCCUGGAAAUUCCUAAUCAUUCUUUCAUACCAAGAGCUCUACUGGUGCAACACUCCGAGUUAGUAAGCAACGUGAAACUACUAGAGAAUUUUCUCCACAAAAGGAAAAAGUAAACCACAAAAGAUAAAGAUGUGGUCUGCAGAAAAUAGGAGACACGAUACAGGAGAGAGAUAAAUGAAAUACUUACAAGGCUGAUGGAGAUUCUAGGAUGACAAAUUUGAACCAGCCAUAGAAGACAACUGGUUGGUUAAGAUUGUUAUAGGUGUGGUGACUGUGCACGCCUGUAAUCCCAGCAUGAGUCAGGAAUAUCACAAGUUUGAG
Non-coding RNA from Ictidomys tridecemlineatus (thirteen-lined ground squirrel), 361 nucleotides. The record is from RefSeq and is a predicted model, not a curated record. Lineage: Eukaryota; Metazoa; Chordata; Mammalia; Rodentia; Sciuridae.